This 244-nucleotide ribosomal RNA is filed under the name uncultured bacterium. Its description in RNAcentral is "partial 16S ribosomal RNA". It matches the Rfam family "Bacterial small subunit ribosomal RNA", at positions 528 to 772 of the family's 1533-position model. The record is from RNAcentral.
UAGGUGGCGAGCGUUGUCCGGAAUUACUGGGUGUAAAGGGAGCGUAGGCGGGAGAGCAAGUCGACUGUGAAAGCUAUGGGCUUAACCCAUAGAUGCGAUCGAAACUGUUCAUCUUGAGUGAAGUAGAGGCAGGCGGAAUUCCUAGUGUAGCGGUGAAAUGCGUAAAUAUUAGGAGGAACACCAGUGGCGAAGGCGGCCUGCUGGGCUUUAACUGACGCUGAGGCUCGAAAGCGUGGGUAGCAAA